GAUGAACGCUAGCUACAGGCUUAACACAUGCAAGUCGAGGGGAAACGAUAGAGAAAGCUUGCUUUUUCUAGGCGUCGACCGGCGCACGGGUGAGUAACGCGUAUCCAACCUGCCCAUCACUUGGGGAUAACCUUGCGAAAGUAAGACUAAUACCCAAUGACGUCUCUAGAAGACAUCUGAAGGAGAUUAAAGAUUUAUCGGUGAUGGAUGGGGAUGCGUCUGAUUAGCUUGUUGGCGGGGUAACGGCCCACCAAGGCGACGAUCAGUAGGGGUUCUGAGAGGAAGGUCCCCCACAUUGGAACUGAGACACGGUCCAAACUCCUACGGGAGGCAGCAGUGAGGAAUAUUGGUCAAUGGACGAGAGUCUGAACCAGCCAAGUAGCGUGCAGGAUGACGGCCCUAUGGGUUGUAAACUGCUUUUAUAAGGGAAUAAAGUGAGUCUCGUGAGACUUUUUGCAUGUACCUUAUGAAUAAGGACCGGCUAAUUCCGUGCCAGCAGCCG
This 502-nucleotide ribosomal RNA is filed under the name uncultured bacterium. RNAcentral describes it as "bacterial SSU rRNA". It matches the Rfam family "Bacterial small subunit ribosomal RNA", at positions 28 to 517 of the family's 1533-position model. The record is from RNAcentral.